CCCAGACUCCUACGGGAGGCAGCAGUGGGGGAUAUUGCACAAUGGGGGGAACCCUGAUGCAGCGACGCCGCGUGGGUGAAGGAGCGUUUCGGCGCGUAAAGCCCUAUCGGCAGGGAAGAAGGAGGACGGUACCUGACUAAGAAGCCCCGGCUAACUACGUGCCAGCAGCCGCGGUAAUACGUAGGGGGCAAGCGUUAUCCGGAUUUACUGGGUGUAAAGGGGGCGCAGACGGCAGCGCAAGCCAGGAGUGAAAGCCCGGGGCCCAACCCCGGGACUGCUCUUGGAACUGCGUGGCUGGAGUGCAGGAGGGGCAGGCGGAAUUCCUGGUGUAGCGGUGAAAUGCGUAGAUAUCAGGAGGAACACCGGUGGCGAAGGCGGCUUGCUGGACUGCAACUGACGUUGAGGCCCGAAGGCCAGGGGAGCGAAAGGGAUUAGAUACCCGAGUAC
RNAcentral lists this ribosomal RNA (447 nucleotides) under uncultured bacterium. RNAcentral's name for it is "bacterial SSU rRNA". It matches the Rfam family "Bacterial small subunit ribosomal RNA", at positions 330 to 793 of the family's 1533-position model. The record is from RNAcentral.